RNAcentral lists this transfer RNA (83 nucleotides) under Buchnera aphidicola (Stegophylla sp.). It matches the Rfam family "tRNA". From Rfam's summary of the family: Transfer RNA (tRNA) molecules are approximately 80 nucleotides in length. Their secondary structure includes four short double-helical elements and three loops (D, anti-codon, and T loops). The record is from Rfam by way of RNAcentral. Lineage: Bacteria; Pseudomonadati; Pseudomonadota; Gammaproteobacteria; Enterobacterales; Erwiniaceae.
GGUGGAGUUCCCGAGUGGUUAAAGGGAGCAGACUGUAAAUCUGUCGUCUAUUGACUUCGAAGGUUCGAAUCCUUCCUCCACCA